UACGUAGGGGGCUAGCGUUGUCCGGAAUCAUUGGGCGUAAAGCGCGUGUAGGCGGUCCGGUAAGUCCGCUGUGAAAGUCGAGGGCUCAACCCUCGAAUGCCGGUGGAUACUGUCGGGCUUGAGUACGGGAGAGGCGAGUGGAAUUCCUGGUGUAGCGGUGAAAUGCGCAGAUAUCAGGAGGAACACCGAUUGCGAAGGCAGCUCGCUGGAACGUUACUGACGCUGAGACGCGAAAGCGUGGGAGCAAACAGG
This 252-nucleotide ribosomal RNA is filed under the name uncultured bacterium. RNAcentral describes it as "partial 16S ribosomal RNA". It matches the Rfam family "Bacterial small subunit ribosomal RNA", at positions 524 to 776 of the family's 1533-position model. The record is from RNAcentral.